This 253-nucleotide ribosomal RNA is filed under the name uncultured bacterium. RNAcentral describes it as "partial 16S ribosomal RNA". It matches the Rfam family "Bacterial small subunit ribosomal RNA", at positions 524 to 776 of the family's 1533-position model. The record is from RNAcentral.
UACGUAGGGUGCAAGCGUUGUCCGGAAUUAUUGGGCGUAAAGAGCUCGUAGGCGGUUUGUCGCGUCUGCUGUGAAAAUCCAGGGCUUAACCCUGGACCUGCAGUGGGUACGGGCAGACUAGAGUGCGGUAGGGGAGAUCGGAAUUCCUGGUGUAGCGGUGAAAUGCGCAGAUAUCAGGAGGAACACCGGUGGCGAAGGCGACAUCCUGGACCGGUAUUGACGCUGAGGCGCGAAAGCCAGGGGAGCAAACGGG